RNAcentral lists this transfer RNA (39 nucleotides) under Peromyscus mekisturus (Puebla deer mouse). RNAcentral describes it as "partial tRNA-Gly". Lineage: Eukaryota; Metazoa; Chordata; Mammalia; Rodentia; Cricetidae. The record is from RNAcentral.
CCAAUCAGUAAGAUCUAGCCAUAAACCUAGAAGGUAGUA